CCCUUAGAUGUCCUGGGCCGCACGCGCGCUACACUGAUGCAUUCAACGAGUGACCUUAGCCGAGAGGCCUGGGCAAUCUUUUGAACGUGCAUCGUGAUAGGGAUAGAUUAUUGCAAUUAUUAAUCUUGAACGAGGAAUUCCUAGUAAACGCAGAUCAUCAUUCUGCAUUGAUUACGUCCCUGCCCUUUGUACACACCGCCCGUCGCACCUACCGAUUGAGUGGUCCGGUGAGGCUUUGGGAUCUGAGCGGAAAGAGCGUUUCGCUGUUUCUGCUCGGAAAACUCAGUCGAACCUUAUCAUUUAGAGGAAGGAGAAGUCGUAACA
This 324-nucleotide ribosomal RNA is filed under the name uncultured eukaryote. Its description in RNAcentral is "partial 18S ribosomal RNA". It matches the Rfam family "Eukaryotic small subunit ribosomal RNA", at positions 1470 to 1796 of the family's 1831-position model. The record is from RNAcentral.